This is a long non-coding RNA of Homo sapiens (human), 291 nucleotides long. Ensembl annotates it as SUGT1 pseudogene 3. Its record names the gene SUGT1P3. The record is from Ensembl. NCBI's taxonomy places the organism in Eukaryota, Metazoa, Chordata, Mammalia, Primates, Hominidae.
GAGGAAUGGCGGCGGCUGCCGCAGGACCUGCAGCAUCCCAGAGGUUUUUCCAGAGCUUCUCAGAUGCUCUAAUCGACCAGGACCCCCAGGCGGCGUUAGAGGAGCUGACUAAGGCUUUGGAACAGAAACCAGAUGAUACACAAUAUUAUUGUCAAAGAGCUUAUUGUCACAUUCUUCUUGGGAAUUACUGUGGUAGUUUUUCUUAUAAAGUAUAUUGUCCCUUUUUAAUAAGUUACUUAUACAUUUUACCCAUGGCCAAUUAAUCAAAUAAAAUAAAGGUUGUCUUUGAGG